UUGGUCGUAUAGAUAGAGAGCUAAUGUCUCCGGGCUUUGAAGAAAAACCGAGAUCCUCUCACAUCGUACCGUGCCCGUGUCUUGGAUGCCUCAGUCAAAGUGUCCUUGCGGCAAAUACGUGCCGAUGCCGACGGCAGAGGAAUGCCUUUGUUGUCGCGAAAUGAGACCUUACUGAAGCAGUGCAGCGGUUGCAUUUCAAGAAACCAGUACUUUGAAAUACUGUGGCUGGACACUCGGGUGCUUCAGGUGUCCGACUGCUACUACGCCCUUAUCAGGAACAGCGAAGUGAACAAGAGCUUGUGGGCAGCACUGAAUGACUGCCAUCUUGACAGAGGUACACUGGAUGGUUUGGUCGUGAACACCGCAAGAUCACAACAGUAUCCCUUUCAUGCACAAUAGAGGUCUGCCAUAUACCCCUCUCGAGUGACCAGGCAGCCACUAUACACAGUAAAAUACAUUCUACAAGCAUCAAAGCUUGUAAAUAUUGCUUUAUUGAUCCAUGUGUUUAUGAAUGAACAUAUGAGUGACAGCGAUAAACAAAAAGGAAGGGAGGAGAACAUCUCCGUGUUGUGUCCAUAUCACUUUGCAAGUGCUUCACCUCCCACCAACCAGUAACGCAAUGUAGGCAUGCUAUUUUUUUUUCUUUUCAGUGCACAGGUGUCUGCUACAAACACGUUCCAGUCCGUAAGCUCUAAGAGAACAUAGGCUAUCAGUUGCCUAUCAAACAUCACAUGGUUUCAUGACUUCUUCACCAGUAUAAGAAAGGCCUCAGGUGGGGACAUGCCAAUGUCUUCAACAGAGGCUCCUCUAUCAUUGACUCCGCAAGCACGUGAAGAAAAAUUUUAGACAUUUUCUGUGCACAUCCGUCUUCGUAACCCUUUCUGAAUUUCUCAUUAGAAACUUCCCAUGUUUUCCCUCAUACCAGUCCAAUUGCAGUCCUUGGUGCUGGCUCAGGGCUUUUGCAUACCGCUACUAUUUCACUGUAGCUCACACCUUUGCAAGUUGUCGGUGUUUCACGCAGGAGAUAAUCUACAUCCUCUGCCAAGAAAAUAUAAUAUGGUCAUGGCUAGUACUCUUUAUAUCGAAACAUGAUCCCUCAUGAGUGUCAUGGUUGAUAACGUGCCGGGUCAAACCCUUAUGGGGGAUUUCAGACAGUUUCAAUUCAACACAUCUUUGUGUUCUUGCACUGUUUUAGAUAACAAUUGCAAAGUUACAGCAACACGCUAGAGAGGACAGUACUAUCCCGACGAUAACGCUCUGCCAGGCUGAAUUGCCAGGCUACAGCUACUCGCAUCUGCAAUCGGUGUGACGUCGGUGAAUUCCGUGACGACGUGCUGCAACAGUACAUUUAAGCUCGUUGGAGCGACCGGGCCUCGCAGUCUUGGGGGGGGGGGGGGAUUUCAGACAGUUUCGACUCAUCUUUGUGUCCUUGCACUGUUUUAGGUUAGUCUGACGUUCCUCAUUGUAUCUAGCAAUUUAAGGUUUUUGCCUCUACCACUCCCCACAAGACUGCUUGGGUGAAACAUUCCAGAGUGUCUAAAUAUGUCUACGACAGAGAAUGAACUGUGCUUCUCUUGUAUGCAAAGUGUUACGGUGGAUAUGAAUGGUAUCCGUUGCUCUAGGUACCACAGUCUGUAUAUCGCGACGGGAAAUGUUCAGAUAUGACCAAAACCUCCGUGACAGAUACAGAACGAAGUGAAUGGGUCUGCGGUACAUGUAACACAUGCGAUAAGGGGGAUCCAAGUCAUUAUCGGUAGAACCGUCCCUGUCCACCAUAUUGCUUGAGGUUCGUCAGAAUGGUGCAAAAAUGAACCUUCCACUCGAGAAAAUUCAUGCUCUAGAAAAGAAAGUAGACGACUUAACAUCAAAACACGAAGCCAUAACAUCACGUGUUGUAAACAAUGAAGUUCAGAUAAUGCACCUAAAUGAACAGUUAGAAAAAAGCAACAGCGUCAUUAAAAAGUAAGGAAGAUGAAAUUAAAACGAUAAGGUCUAGUUUGGGCGACCUUGCAAUACAGUCGCCGAUGCAACGUAGAAAUUAGAGGUCUUCCAUGUGUACCUGGAGAAGAUAUCCUGAAAGAGAUAAACAACAUUGCAUCGCAAAUCGGCGUUAUCCCAAGCAGCAAAAUGUACUGAAAGUCG
Ornithodoros turicata is the source of this 2142-nucleotide long non-coding RNA. RefSeq lists it as uncharacterized. The record is from RefSeq and is a predicted model, not a curated record. The transcript is spliced from 3 exons. NCBI's taxonomy places the organism in Eukaryota, Metazoa, Arthropoda, Arachnida, Ixodida, Argasidae.